CUAGAAAGGUGCAAUUCUACAUCGUCAAUUUUACAUCGGUUUAGGUAGAACCGAUGUAAAAAUUAGAUGCGGUGGCAUAUUCGUAAAUAUAAGUUGAAUGGAAAGCAAAUUUACAUCGGUUAUGUACAAAACCGAUGUAAUUAUUAAGCAUUUUACAUCGGUUUUAAUUGGACCGAUGUAAAUUUAAAUGUGCGGUGGCAAUCUUGUAAAUAUUUACAAGUAGAUCUACAUCGGUUUUCAAAAUAACCGAUGUAGUAUUGAAGCUAGGGUUUAUCACGUACAGUGUGCGUUGCAAUCUGAAGUGCCUCCACCAUUCUCACAACGUCAACCUCCUCCCUCCAAGAUCUCUCCUCUCCACCAAGGCCAUCUUGCUCUCGGUAGCCACGAAGACAAACACGGCAAACUUGCCGAGGGCCUUACGAAGCGUGGCGGCGCUCUUGUAGUCACCGUAGAUGAGCACGUACUCGAGGAGCUCGUCACAGUGGACCAUGGCGAGGAAGUCGUCCUUGAAGACGAAGAGGUAGUCGCGACCGUGGAGCUAGGAGGGGCGACAGGGACACGUGGUGGCGGUGACAAUGAAGUGUAGGUUGCGGCAGGACUCACGAAGGCUGGCGGUGAGGGCGUCCUUGCCGACACCGCUGGGGCCGUGAUGAUGAGGUCUUUGCUUGAUGGUGGGAUGCGUGUUGAAGAUCUACCAUCCAUACCUCGUUUUGGAUCGUCUCCUCGUUGAGCCAGCAUAGGCUUCCAUAAGAUUCCCCCGAAGGAUUAAGGGAACCUGAUUGUGGCUAUGGCGUUGCUGCUAGGUUGUGGCAUUUCAUAUAUCACAGCAUUUAUCUGGACCAAUAUAUAUCUUCAGAGUUCUCCUCACUUAUUAACACUCCUAAGCAGUAAAAAAGAUUCGAGGAUGGAAGGCAUGGGAGGCAGAAACUUCAUCUCAUGGUUACGAGUUUGCCAAUGAUCCUUCAAGAUUCUGGCUUACACAUGAAACAUCGUUUGUGAGAGGUCAUGCUUCAUUUUGGACAAGAUAUUCAAUCUUCUUCUAUAUAGGAUGCUUCUUUAGACAAUUUUAUAGGUCUGUGGGCAAGGCUGACUACUUGGCUUUGCGCAAUGGAUUCAUCGCUGUGAGUCCUACACCACAAGACAUGUUCUUUUUAACACUCUUGUACACGAUACAUUUGUUUGAAGUAUUAUAUUGAGUCUGUUUAAAUACAAACUUAGAAAAACUUUUAAGAGCUUCUCUAUUGAAAAUAAUGAGUUUUUUCUAAUCGAAAAAUUCUCAAAAACUUAUCUAAACUUGUAUCAAAACAGUCUCUUUGUCUAUGAUUUUUCCAAUGGUAACUUGUUUGACAUACAUGCUCACUAUGUUGUUGACAGUCCUGUCCUCUGGGCAUCAUUUGUUUUUUCCUGCUUCUAAAUG
This is a non-coding RNA of Cajanus cajan (pigeon pea), 1417 nucleotides long. The record is from RefSeq and is a predicted model, not a curated record. Lineage: Eukaryota; Viridiplantae; Streptophyta; Magnoliopsida; Fabales; Fabaceae.